Molecule: ribosomal RNA, 225 nt
Filed under: uncultured bacterium
Lineage: Bacteria
Description: partial 16S ribosomal RNA
Rfam family: Bacterial small subunit ribosomal RNA
Source: RNAcentral
AACGUGGGUAACCUGCCCAUCAGAAGGGGAUAACACUUGGAAACAGGUGCUAAUACCGUAUAACACUAUUUUCCGCAUGGAAGAAAGUUGAAAGGCGCUUUUGCGUCGCUGAUGGAUGGACCCGCGGUGCAUUAGCUAGUUGGUGAGGUAACGGCUCACCAAGGCAACGAUGCAUAGCCGACCUGAGAGGGUGAUCGGCCACACUGGGACUGAGACACGGCCCAG